UCCUACCAGGUUUCCAAGCCCGCUGAAUCACCCGGCUUUCUGAGGAGAGAGGGCCCCGCGUGGCAGAGGGUCUGGUUUUCCCAGCUGACCGGCCCACGUGCGUUGGGCUGACCUGAUUUGAGACUCGGGGGCCUCACUCGCAGGAAGUGCACUUGGUUUUCCCAGAAAGAAAAAGUCCCAUGGCCAAGGUCACCUGUCUCUUUCUGAUGGUGUUUGUCAGCUUCAAACACAGUGACUCAUAGUCACAGGUCGAAAUAAACCUACUCGCUAUCAUUUGUUUGAAAUGAGUUCCCACCACCUGGGAAGGUUGGCUGCCUCUGCUUUGCAAGCCCCUCAGGUCUGCUGAUGUUCCAGGAGGUUCCUAAGCUCCCAGUCCUACCAGUCAAGGGAAAAGGUCAUCACUCAACUGAAUGUACUUGAGAGAUGCAAUUGAAAUGAAUCCCUGAUCUUUCAGAGAAAAGAGAACGAGGGUCUCAUGGUCCAGCAGCUUCUGCAGACAGAAAGCCAUCGAGCACUUAUCAGCCCAAUCCUGGAAUCUGAGGUUCUUUCACCAGACAAGGAACUAAGCUGAGCGUGGACUUGGGUGAGAAGAUCAAGUGACAUUGAUGAGAAAGGAACGUCCUUUCCCUGCUUUUUCCCUGGAAGAAAAGCACUUUCUCCUACCUUGG
Molecule: long non-coding RNA, 668 nt
Filed under: Bos indicus x Bos taurus (hybrid cattle)
Lineage: Eukaryota; Metazoa; Chordata; Mammalia; Artiodactyla; Bovidae
Description: lncRNA (ENSBIXG00000010935.1)
Source: RNAcentral